GCUGUCUGAGAUGUCUGUAUCAAUUCUUUACACCUGUCUGAAGAGUCUUUAUCUUGUUGCAUAAUUAUGUCUGCCAAUACUGUCUAAUGAGUCUCCUCCAUCAGUAAAAUCUUCUGGAUUAUCUUCUGAAUUAUUGUCUUUGGAAUCAUCCAAAUCUCUUUCUUGUUCAAUCUUCUUUUUACCUUUAUUUUUCUUUUUAAUUUGUAAUUUCUUUUUCUUCGUAAUACUUUGUUUAACUUGUUGCUGAAUCUCCUCAAUCUUAUCAAGCAUUUCUUUGAUCUUUCUAAUGUCUGACUGAGAAAUCUGUUCUGGAUCCUGAGCUGAUUGGAAUGAGCUUUGAAAAUUAAUUGGGUUUUUCUGUUUAAGAUCUAUUGGACUAAUAAGUCUAGUAGCAGAAUUAUCAGUCUGCUGUGUCUGUUCUUCUGAAUUAAUUGUAACAGGAUUUUCAGCCUGUUGAGUCUGAGAAGUAGAGGAAUCAACAGUCCUCUGAGUCUGUUGAGCUUUUG
This 506-nucleotide long non-coding RNA is filed under the name Olea europaea subsp. europaea. Lineage: Eukaryota; Viridiplantae; Streptophyta; Magnoliopsida; Lamiales; Oleaceae. The record is from RNAcentral.